This 253-nucleotide ribosomal RNA is filed under the name uncultured bacterium. Its description in RNAcentral is "partial 16S ribosomal RNA". It matches the Rfam family "Bacterial small subunit ribosomal RNA", at positions 524 to 776 of the family's 1533-position model. The record is from RNAcentral.
UACGAAGGGUGCAAGCGUUACUCGGAAUUACUGGGCGUAAAGCGUGCGUAGGUGGUUCGUUAAGUCUGAUGUGAAAGCCCUGGGCUCAACCUGGGAAUGGCAUUGGAAACUGGCGACCUAGAGUGCGGUAGAGGGUAGUGGAAUUCCCGGUGUAGCAGUGAAAUGCGUAGAUAUCGGGAGGAACACCAGUGGCGAAGGCGGUUACCUGGACCGACAUUGACGCUGAGGAGCGAAAGCUAGGGGAGCAAACGGG